GAUACCACCCUUGUCGUACUGAAGUUCUAACCCGCACCCCUGAUCGGGGUGGGAGACCGUGUCAGGUGGGCAGUUUGACUGGGGCGGUCGCCUCCCAAAGAGUAACGGAGGCGCCCAAAGGUUCCCUCAGAAUGGUUGGAAAUCAUUCGAAGAGUGUAAAGGCAGAAGGGAGCUUGACUGCGAGACCUACAAGUCGAGCAGGGACGAAAGUCGGGCUUAGUGAUCCGGUGGUUCCGCAUGGAAGGGCCAUCGCUCAACGGAUAAAAGCUACCCCGGGGAUAACAGGCUUAUCUCCCCCAAGAGUCCACAUCGACGGGGAGGUUUGGCACCUCGAUGUCGGCUCAUCGCAUCCUGGGGCUGUAGUCGGUCCCAAGGGUUGGGCUGUUCGCCCAUUAAAGCGGUACGCGAGCUGGGUUCAGAACGUCGUGAGACAGUUCGGUCCCUAUCCGUCGCGGGCGCAGGAAAUUUGAGAGGAGCUGUCCUUAGUACGAGAGGACCGGGAUGGACGCACCGCUGGUGUACCAGUUGUCCUGCCAAGGGCACCGCUGGGUAGCUAUGUGCGGAAGGGAUAAGCGCUGAAAGCAUCUAAGCGUGAAGCCCCCCUCAAGAUGAGAUUUCCCAUUGCAUAAGCAAGUAAGAUCCCUCGAAGAUGACGAGGUAGAUAGGUCCGAGGUGGAAGCGUGGCGACACGUGCAGCUGACGGAUACUAAUCGAUCGAGGACUUAACCAAU
RNAcentral lists this ribosomal RNA (731 nucleotides) under Anoxybacillus sp. UARK-01. RNAcentral describes it as "bacterial LSU rRNA". It matches the Rfam family "Bacterial large subunit ribosomal RNA", at positions 2196 to 2925 of the family's 2925-position model. The record is from RNAcentral. Lineage: Bacteria; Bacillati; Bacillota; Bacilli; Caryophanales; Anoxybacillaceae.